Molecule: unclassified non-coding RNA, 3300 nt
Filed under: Hevea brasiliensis (rubber tree)
Lineage: Eukaryota; Viridiplantae; Streptophyta; Magnoliopsida; Malpighiales; Euphorbiaceae
Source: RNAcentral
AUUUUCUUUCAAACUUAAAGAUUUUGUCCAUAGAAGUUUCAAGUUUUUACCACUGAAAGCUUUCCAUGCGAAGCCAUGCAACAAGAGAUCAACAAAGAAAGCACGUAGAGGGGAACCCAAACAUUUAACAAAAAAAAAAAAGACUACUUGUCUAAACCAGAUUAUGAACAGUUUAAUUUCUACAAAAUAAUAGCUGCUGCCCAUUUUUCAUAUGAAAUGUGAUGCAUCUUCGGCAUUCAAAGGUAAGAGAGUGAGAUUGUAAUAGUCUGUAUCCAUGGGUAAAUGGAUAUCAGUUACAGAACCCAUCACUCCCCAAUCAUCCACUGGAAUUAAAUUGUAUUGAUCUCCAAUUUGUGAAUCAUUCUCAUCGAUUUUCUUUGCCGAAUGAGCUUCAAUGUUCACAUCUGGCGUGCCAGCCAAAAGGGCCUCAAUGGGAGACUUGAUAUUCAAGUUUUCCUGAGAAGUGAACUUCACUUCCAGGAUUGGAGCUCCAAAAUCCACUUUAGUAGCAGCCCUUGACAAUUCAACAACAUCCUGCAGAAUGUCUAGGUUAGGCCCUUCAUCUGUGACUUCUAUACAAGUGAUAAUUUCAUUUGAAACAGCAACUUCCUUGAUAGCAUCUGAGCUACUGUCAGUUUGAUUUCCAGAAAAUUGUUCCAAACUAUCAGUUUUACCCAGAGUCGAAAUGUUGCUUGUUCCAUUGCCAACUUCUCCAUUUUGUAUAUCAUCAGUUAUCUGAUAAGAACCAGUCCUUGCAAUAUCAUUUGCAGCUGGCACUGUGUGGUCAAAACAAGUACCCUGGGUAUCACCUUCAUCCCCCUCACUGUCCUGCAGCUGUUCACCAACUCCUAUAUCCGUUUUCAGACAGUAGUUAUCAUUAGGAUACUUCAUUGCAUUCUCUUCACUUUCUAAAGAAGAAAUAUUGGAUACAGAUGAAAAUGAAAGUCUCUUCGGUAACUCUGUCCCUUCGGGUUCACUGAAACCAGUGGGAUGUUCUGUGCUUAUUUCGCAAUGACCUUUUGGGGAAACUGUAUUGUCGUCAUUAUUUCCUUCUCCAUUUGGAAACUCAGGAGCUUUAAAUGCAAGAGUUUUUGAAUAUCUUGGGGACUGGAUUGAAGUCGAAGAUACGAAUCCAGCAAGUGCAGAUGCUAGAGCAUCAUCAAUUGACAUAACAUGCCUUUGCUUCUCCUUUGGAGAUUCCAUCACUGGUUCCACUGCAUCAUCUUCUUCCUCAUCAUCAAAAUUUGAAAACUCUGGAGCAGUAACUACAAGACUAGGAUGUGACUUUGAAGUAUUCACAGAAACAGGGGUGGCAUCAGAGAGAAUGGAUGACACAGCUGGAAGUGAAUCCUUCUUACUGGCAUCACAAGCUGCAUAAUUAAGAUCCACAUAACCACUGUUAUAAAGGGAAUUGGUCUCUGAUUCACUGCAUGAAAAUUCAGGUGCAGAUAUUCUUGUGCAAGAAAGCAAUCCAGAAUUCUGGGGUUUCUUCGUGAGCACUUCAAGUUGCUGCUCUACUCUUUGGAGCCUCUCAUCAAUGCUUCUUAUGGGCUUCAGCAUACAAUCCUCAAACUGCAAAAAGAGAUAUUCUAUUCUGGUAACUCGAGAAACAAGCUGGUUUAGAACACUUUCAAUUUGAUUGUGUGAUAAUUCAGGCUUGCUCUCAGUAUCUGAAACUUGUGGAGGAAUCUCCAGCUUGGCACCAGGCAUAACUGCUUCUUGCACCUGGACUCCCUGCUGGUAAAUUGAAUCAGAUUUUCCUUCCUGCUGAAUUUCAUUUCCAGCAUCAAUGGGAUCAGUUGGUUUUCCCUCAAGUUUGUCUGACUUCCACCUAUUCAUCCUAUCAGAAUCAUAUUUAUCUUGUGCUAGGCCAACACCCUUUGUUUUAGAUAACUGCAAAAAGGUAGGCAUUAGCACAGCCAUAAGUGAACUUCCAGCAGAGUUUUCUACUGGACCCACUUUAUUAUCCAAAUCAGCUGCAUCAACAGGAUCAGCAAACAUGUAGACUUCAUCAAUACAAACGCAAGAUUUAUUCUGAAGUGAAAGUAGCCUCAGCGUAAUGGAUGCGCAUGGGUUUGCAUCAGUUAUAUCUGCUGUAGCCUCAUACAAAUCCUGAAAGAUUUAUUCAAUCAGAAAUAUAUUAUGAUAAAAAUGAAGAUCCAAUCGUGUUUUCACAUUUUAAUGUUUUAAUCUGAUUUUCAUUUUCAAAAUACAUACUUUCCCUUAAAAUUUCCUUCAUCUGCAACAUGUUUCAUAAAAGAGGAAAAACUAUUGUUUAGUCUAUCAAACAACAUGACCAGUAUACAUUUAUCAAACUUCAACAACCAUUUGUAGUGAUCCAUUGCCAUCAAAUAGAUAAUUCCACUUCCGCUCUGAUGUUGUAGCAUCACUAUUAUUGUUUUUUGGCCACAACAUCAUAAAACUGUGAACCCACAGUAUUAAAACAUCAAGAAAAAAUGACAUAUUACACUUUGCUUUGAUAAGAAAGCAAAUUCAGUACCUGUGGCUUCGAGCCUCUCCCUUGGCUUGUAUCAGAAUGUGAUGACAGAGAACUGUUCAUGUUGGCAAGCUGAGGAUCAGGAACUUUCACUUCAACCCAGUCAUCUUCAUUGGUGGUCACGCUACUGCCAUUUCUUAUUCUUUCUUCAGCUAGUUCUUUGGUAGAGCGCUUCUGAUGUGCCAAAACAGCUUCUUCAAUACCAGUUGCACGCAGCACAUCUUCAUCUCUAACUGCAAUACCACAGCGAACAGUACACAGAUACUCACUGCUACACUGCAACUCAGAGGCAUAAUAUAUUUCAUAAACUCGAGAAGUACUUCGAACAUAAACCUGCCGCACCUCAUGUUUUUGAGCAAAAGUAAUUGUGAUUUCGCAGGAAGUGGAAUCAGGUGAAGGAGGAUACAAGAUAAGAGGGGAUUUAGCGGCUGAACUCAUAGUGGAGGAUUGAUCAUGAUUAUCAUCCUUGUCGUCGUCUACAAGAGAAAGAGAGGACUCGAAGGUGACGGAAUUAUCGAGACAGCCACCGGCAACGAUCCAGUUUGUUGCAGAGCUCCAUGAAGCAUCGUAGUUGGUAGCGGUGGUAUCCAAUGCUUCCAUUUUUUUUUUCUCUUGUUGGGGAUAUUCUGCUUUGGUUUUGUUGGCGUGGUUUUUACAGUGGAUAGCUUAAUGGCUUAUUGAGAAAGAAGAAGUCUCUGGGCAAAAGUGUAAUUUUGAGAGAGUUUUGGGGAGAAUUUGGAAAUAUACACGCUAGUAGUUGAUUACUCGUCCGUUUCUGCUAAUGGCAGAUUUAAGGGUUUUUU